AGAGCGAGGGGGCGGAUGUUUAGAAGAAAUAAAUAUAAAGAGAGCGAGGGGGCGGAUGUAGCCAAGUGGAUCAAGGCAGUGGAUUUGUGA
This 90-nucleotide transfer RNA is filed under the name Leichhardtia liisae. RNAcentral's name for it is "Marsdenia liisae partial tRNA-His". The record is from RNAcentral. Lineage: Eukaryota; Viridiplantae; Streptophyta; Magnoliopsida; Gentianales; Apocynaceae.